This is a non-coding RNA of Gallus gallus (chicken), 45 nucleotides long. The record is from Rfam. NCBI's taxonomy places the organism in Eukaryota, Metazoa, Chordata, Aves, Galliformes, Phasianidae.
ACAUAGGUUCUUCUUAGAACCAUAUUAUUAGCACGAAAGUUGUAA